This 1849-nucleotide long non-coding RNA is filed under the name Zostera marina. RNAcentral describes it as "long non-coding RNA (ZMAR_LNC001728)". Lineage: Eukaryota; Viridiplantae; Streptophyta; Magnoliopsida; Alismatales; Zosteraceae. The record is from RNAcentral.
UUGUUCGAACCGAUGCUGCUGUUGUUAUCGAUUGACAUGCGACCGAAGUUUGUCGUCGGAAAAGCACCGGAGUCAGAGGUACUGUCAACGGACAUGUUCGAUUCUUCUACUUCAAAUCCAAGCUUGUAGUAAUAAUCCAAGAAUUGAUCUGCUCCUCUGGCGAUAUCCAUCAUAGUAUCCACUGGCGAAUAAACUCGUCUGAGAGACUCAGAGGUGUGAACACCGGAAAGUGGAAGAAAUCAUGGAAUAUUUCUGAAUAAAAAAAGUCAAAAAACGACAACACGUUUCUUGAACUUGAGUGUCAUCAUCUUAGAUUUUGUGGCUAUUUGUCCGGCAUAAGCAAAAUCAUAUUUUUCUAACAUUACUGGCCAUUUUAUAUUCAGGUGAAAUAUCUAAAUCUUUUUGAGGUCUGAUCUUGAGAUAUGGUCUAUCUAUAAAAGACAAAAAAAAAAAAAUGAUAAUUGUCGCAAACCUUGGGAUAUCGUGUGAAAGGUAUAUGAGUAUGUCUAUCAAUAUCUCACGAAAAUCCUAUUUUACAAAAAAAACAUUGUCAUUUUAUACAUGUCACGAAAUUGCCUGGUUUUUUAAAACAGUGAACCACACCAAUGCUUCUCUGACGUCAGUUUUGUUGAACCUGAUCAUGUAAACAAUGAGAUCGCAUGACUGGAGCAUGAUAUAUCAAAGUUAUAUACGACAGCAGCAAGAUUGCAGGCAACAAGCAGUCCAGGUUCGUUUCCUUUUUAAUUAAUGAUAAUUGAUGUCUUAUGUCACAUAAGAUUAAAGACGAGAAGCAGAUAUUUUGGAAUGCGACAUAAACUAAGCAGUAAGUUUGAAACUGGAUUACAAAAUGCAAAGAACAAGUUGAAAUGCAACAUGAGUUAAAAGUCUGACAUGGUUCGAUGUGAUCAAAUGGGUUAGUUUGAAUUCGGAAUUUUAGAUGUGCUGAUCAGUGAAUCACCCUCCCUCUCUAAUUGCAGGCAGGAACCCUUCGGUUUUGUAAAAGUGCAUGCUUCCUUGGGUUGCAGAUGCUACGAGGGGUUUCCUGCAAACAAAUUCAUAUUCCAAGCAAUGAUUAAAUUGAAAUUUGAUGAUUUUGAAUCAGAGUUUCCAAGAAAGCAGAUAAUAAAGCGAACCGGCAUAACUUCAGUUUCUAUAAGGUUAAAAUGAAUGGCUACCUCACACCAGAUGCGACGUAGUUGCAUUGCAAGUUGUACAAGUGAUUCGCUUUCUCUAGGAUUAGAGAAUUCCAUAGAUGCUGCUUCUUGUACAGAUAACAACAAUUCCCUCUUCACUUUUGUGGACAGAAGUUGAUGAUUUGACACACUAACAGAACUUAGAUCAACAACCUGCAGUAAGAGCUUAAGUAUGUUGGUUCACUUGGUUGCAUUUGCAAAAAAUAAACAAAUUAAGAUUAAAUAUACCUGUUGCAGCCAAGGAACAAUUGAACUGAUGAAUCUGUGAUCGAGCAUGUGUGUAGCAAGUGUGCAAAGGAUUUCAUUAGCAGUCUUAUCAGACAAUUUAUCCAGAACAGGACCAGUUCUAUCCAUAAGCUCAAUCAGAACAAGAUCAUCGUCAGUUUGGAGAACCUCCAUAUAUGCAGCUUCGAUAUCCCUUGCACAUAUAAACCCCUUGACUCGCUUCCAGAAGCCAUUUUUAUUUUCAGAUAUGUCUGGCCUCACAGUCGAAUUUAAAAAAGUAGCAUUAGAUACUUGGGCAUUUGUUGUGUGAUUUAUCUUUGAAUUUUUUGACCCGUGUCCAUGAUUUUUCUGGGUUGACGUCUUCGAUGAAGAGUCUUUGGACAUGCUUAUCUUGAGAUCUCUCCAAAUUCCUGCAGCUUCUUUAACUGAAC